AAAAUGGAGAGUUUGAUCCUGGCUCAGGAUGAACGCUGGCGGUAUGCCUUACACAUGCAAGUUGAACGGAAGUUAAUCUUCAGUAGCAAACGGGUGAGUAACACGUAAGAAUCUACCUUUAGGAGGGAAAUAACAGUUGGAAACGACUGCUAAUAUCCCAUAUGCUGUAAAGUGAAAUAAUUUUUUGCCUGAAGAUGAGCUUGCGCCUGAUUAGCUAGUUGGUAAGGUAAUGGCUUACCAAGGCUACGAUCAGUAGCUGGUUUGAGAGGACGAUCAGCCACACUGGAACUGAGACACGGUCCAGACUUCUACGGAAGGCAGCAGUGGGGAAUUUUCCGCAAUGGGCGAAAG
RNAcentral lists this ribosomal RNA (351 nucleotides) under Laurencia tasmanica. RNAcentral describes it as "SSU rRNA". It matches the Rfam family "Bacterial small subunit ribosomal RNA", at positions 1 to 381 of the family's 1533-position model. The record is from RNAcentral. Lineage: Eukaryota; Rhodophyta; Florideophyceae; Ceramiales; Rhodomelaceae.